Rhinopithecus roxellana (golden snub-nosed monkey) is the source of this 4479-nucleotide long non-coding RNA. Lineage: Eukaryota; Metazoa; Chordata; Mammalia; Primates; Cercopithecidae. The record is from Ensembl.
AUGAGAACCAUGACAGAUGUAGCUGUUCCAAAGGAGAAGCUGCCUUGUCCAGGAGUGGAGGGAGAGACUCUCAAGACAGACUCUGCCACAGUCUGCUGGGGAGGACACAGCCAGAGCCUCUCUCUUCUCCAGGACAACGAGCCCGUCUGCCACAGACAGAGUCCUGCCAAGAAGUACAGGAGGGACGUGGAGCCUGGCCUUGGGCACAAGGGCAGAGCCUCAGAGCACGUGGAUGAGGAGGGGCCUAAAGCGCCUCCACCAGGGGAGCAAGGGGAGGCCCAAGGCCUGCCCUGUGGCCCCCAGUGUAGCCCCGAAGAGGAACUCCCUGCCAUGGGAAUGAGGAGCUCGGCAGCUGAAGACCAAGCCCUGUCCCACCCUGCGCAGGGCCCAGCACAGCCCGGAAAGACACGCCUCAGGAGCAAAGAUGGAGGAGCAGAGGCUGCCAGAGAGGGAGUCCGGCUCCUCGGAGAAAGAGAGGUGGAAGCCAUGGCCACCAGAGAAAGAGGAGUGGAGAUUGCCAAAGAAGGGGGCCAGCUCCUCAGAGACAGGGGAUUGGAGGCUGUGGCCUCCAGAGAAGCAGGAGGGGAGGCCGUGGCUGCCAGAGAAGGGGGCUGGCUCUUCAGAGACAGAGGAGUGGAGGCUGGGACUGACAGAGAAAGAAAAGGGGAGGCCGUGGCCACCAAAGGAGGAGGAGAGACCAUGGCAGCCAGAGAAGGAGCAGAGGCCGUGGCAGCCAGAGAAGGAGGAGCAGAGGUCAUGGCAGCCAGAGAAGGAGGAGUAGAGGCUAUGGCCACCAAAGGAGGAGGAGAGACCAUGGCAGCCAGAGAAGGAGGAGGAGAGACCAUGGUAGCCAGAGAAGGAGGAGGAGAGACCAUGGCAGCCAGAGAAGGAGGAGCAGAGGCCAUGGCCACCAGAGAAGGAGGAGCAGAGGCUGUGGCCACCAGAGAAGGAAGAGGGGAGGCCGUGGCAGCCAGAGAAGGAGGAGGAGAGACCAUGGCAGCCAGAGAAGGAGGAGCAGAGGCCAUGGCCACCAGAGAAGGAGGAGCAGAGGCUGUGGCCACCAGAGAAGGAAGAGGGGAGGCCGUGGCAGCCAGAGAAGGAGGAGCGGAGGCCAUGGCAGCCAGAGAAGGAGGAGCAGAGGCCAUGGCCACCAGAGAAGGAGGAGCAGAGGCUGUGGCCACCAGAGAAGGAAGAGGGGAGGCCGUGGCAGCCAGAGAAGGAGGAGCAGAGGCCGUGGCCACCAGAGAAAGAGGAGGAGAGGUCAUGGCCACCAAAGAAGGAAGAGAGGAGGCCGUGGCAGCCAGAGAAGGAGGAGCUGAGACCAUGGCCACCAGAGAAGGAGCAGCAGAGACCAUGGCAGCCAGAGAAGGAGGAGCGGAGGCUGUGGCAGCCAGAGAAGGAGGAGCGGAGGCUGUGGCAGCCAGAGAAGGAGGAGCAGAGACCAUGACAGUCAGAGAAAGAGGAGCAGAGGCCAUGGCCACGAGAGGAGGAGGAGCAGAGGCCGUGGCCACCAGAGAAAGAGGAGGAGAGGCCGUGGCCACCAGAGAAGGAAGAGGGGAGGCCGUGGCAGCCAGAGAAGGAGGAGCGGAGGCCAUGGCAGCCAGAGAAGGAGGAGCAGAGGCCAUGGCAGCCAGAGAAGGAGGAGCGGAGGCCAUGGCCGCCAGAGAAGAAGGAAGAGAGACCAUGGCAGCCAGAGAAGGAGGACCGGAGGCCGUGGCAGCCAAAGAAGGAGGAGCAGAGACCAUGGCCACCAGAGAAGGAGGAGCGGAGGCCGUGGCAGCCAGAGAAGGAGGAGUGGAGGCGGUGGCAGUCAAAGAAGGAGGAGCAGAGACCAUGACAGUCAGAGAAAGAGGAGCAGAGGCCAUGGCCGCCAGAGAAAGAGAAGGAGAGGCCAUUGCCACCAGAGAAUGCGGCUGGAUCCUCAGAGACAGAGGAGUGGAGGCCAUGACUACCAGAGAAAAGGAAGGGGAUGCCAUGGCCUCCAGAGAAGGAGGAGCGGAGGCCGUGGCCACCAGAGAAGGAGGAGCAGAGGCCAUGGCUGCCAGAGAAGAGGAGUGGAGGCCAUGGCCACCAGAGAAGGAGAAGAGGAGGCUGUGGCCACCAGAGAAGGAGGAGCAGAGGCCAUCGCCACCAGAGAAGGCUGCCCCUCAGAGAUGGAGGAAGGGAGGUGCCAGGCUUCAAGAGUCACAGGAGCUCAGCCUGGCCUUCGCCCGCGUCAUCCUCCAUUGUCUGCGGCCACCGCCACCCUCCGCCGACAGCGUGGGCACCUCACCGAGGAGGCGGAGGACGUUCACCGACUGGCCCUUUACAGAAGAGGCUGCUGGCCGCCGACGCAGACCCCUGGCCUCAUGGCCCGGCAAGCACGAGGGCGGUUUUGUUUCUGGUGAGCACCCGCCCCACGGGUGUCUGGCGAAAAGAUUCCAUGGCGCAUCCUGCAGCAAAGGAUCCAGCUGCACAGCUCCAGCCCUGCUGUGGACUUUAUACCCAGAAAGUUUCUGAAAAAGCAGAUUUUGGACCAGAUCUGUGUUCUGUGGCCUGACUUUGUCUGCCAUUGGCUGAAGGGGAGAAAUGAAGAUUGAGGUGCCACCAGGGAGGGGCAAAGUUUUUGAGAAGGAGCUUUAGGAGGUCAGCUUCUGGGAGCAUCUGCAGACACGGGAGCCCAGAACACGGAGCAGGUCCUGCAGGCUCAGCUUCCAGGGCUGAGGACCCAGGGCUACAACACCCUCCCCCUAGGGACUAUUGUCAGUGGACAAGCAGGCUCCCGUGCAGUGUCUAAGCCCACACAGAGCUGUCCACCAUGGCUUAACCAGAAUCCAAGAUGGACGGAGAGGUGGUGGAGGGCUGAGGAGUCCGCAAUGGGAGGACCGACGGAGAGGCGGUGCAGGGCUGAGGAGUCCGCAAUGGGAGGAGGGAUGGAGAGGCAGUGGAGGGCUGAAGAGUCUGCAAUGGGAGGAGGGAUGGAGAGGUAGUGCAGGGCUGAGGAGUCCGCAAUGGGAGGAGGGAUGGAGAGGCAGUGGAGGCUAAAGAGUCUGCAAUGGGAGGAGGGGCUUUGUCCCGGUGAGGAUCCUGCCCAGACAGGCUUUCUGCAGCACAGCUGGGAAUCUGCAGAGAAGGAGGAAGGAAGGAAGGGGUCCCCAGCCCCCCAACCUUCCUCACAUGACCUGCUCCUGAGGGUGGAGGAGAUAGACUUCACCAUCCUCCUUGGUCACCUGCACUGGAGGCAGCUAGGACAGGAGAGUUCACAUCCAGAUGGGUUCAGACCCCACCACACAGGGACCCGCACGCUCACACCACACACACACGGAGGGACACACACAGACGGAGAUAUGGGGACCCGCAUGCUCACUCCACACAUGUGGAGGGACACACACAGAGACACGGGGACACGCAUGCUUACACCACACACACGCUGAGGGACACACACAGAUGGAGACACGGGGACACGCACACUCACGCUACACACACGCGGAGGGACACACACAGACGGAGACAUGGGGACACACGCUCAUGCCACACACACGCGGAGGGACACACAGAGACACAGGGACACGCACGCUCACGCCACACACAUGCAGAGGGACACACACAGACGGAGACACGGGGACAUGCACGCUCACACCACACACACAGAGGGACACAUAUGGACAGAGACAUGUGGAUAUGCAUGCUCAUGCCACACACACGUGGAGGGACACAUGCAGAGAGAUGGAGACACAAGGACAGAGAUGUGGAGGGACACACACAGAGAGACGGAGACACGGGGACCCUCACGUUCACACCACACACAUGCAGAGGGACACACACAGAUGGAGACAUGGGUUCACGCACGCUCACACCACACACAUGUGGAGGGAUGCACACGGAGACUCGGGGACACACACGCUCAUGCCACACACACGCAAAGGGACACAGGCAGAUAGAUGGAGACAUGGACAUGCACUCACGCCACACACAUGUGGAGGGACACACAUGGAUAAACGGGGACACAGGGACACGCAUGCUCACACCACAGACACGCGGAGGGACACAUGCAGACGGAGACACAGGGACACGUGCUCACACCACACAUGCAUGGAGGGACACAGGACACCAGGACACACAGGAAUGCGCACACACAGAAUCUGCAGAUCCUCACCACACAGGGACAUGCACACUCACGUGUCACACAUGCAAAGGUGCACAGGGACACACACGCCCUCCAAUACGUGUCACACACACAAAGGUGCACAGGGACACAUGCACCCUCUGACAUGUGUCACACACACAAAGGUGCACAGGGACAUGCACACCCUCCGACACGUGUCACACACUCAAAGGUGCACAGGGACACACGCACCCUCUGACAUGUGUCACACACUCAAAGCUGCACAGGGACACACGCACCCUCCGAGAGCCCUAGCAGCUUGAGCAGGUGCAGCCCCUUCUCAGCCAAACUCUUAGGGAGCCAAAGCUGCCUGGGGAAGGCAGGAAAAGUGGAAA